RNAcentral lists this ribosomal RNA (350 nucleotides) under uncultured Methanosarcina sp. RNAcentral describes it as "bacterial SSU rRNA". It matches the Rfam family "Archaeal small subunit ribosomal RNA", at positions 528 to 877 of the family's 1478-position model. Lineage: Archaea; Methanobacteriati; Methanobacteriota; Methanomicrobia; Methanosarcinales; Methanosarcinaceae. The record is from RNAcentral.
GUUUGGUCAGUCCUCCGGGAAAUCUGAUAGCUCAACUAUUAGGCUAUCGGGGGAUACUACCUGACUUGGAACCGGGAGAGGUAAGAGGUACUACAGGGGUAGGAGUGAAAUUUUGUAAUCCCUGUGGGACCACCUGUGGCGAAGGCGUCUUACCAGAACGGGUUCGGCGGUGAGGGACGAAAGCUGGGGGCACGAACCGGGUUAGAUACCCGGGUAGUCCCAGCCGUAAACGAUGCUCGCUAGGUGUCAGGCAUGGCGCGACCGUGUCUGGUGCCGCAGGGAAGCCGUGAAGCGAGCCACCUGGGAAGUACGGCCGCAAGGCUGAAACUUAAAGGAAUUGGCGGGGGAGC